AUAAUGGAGAGUUUGAUCCUGGCUCAGGACGAACGCUGGCGGCGUGCCUAAUACAUGCAAGUCGAGCGGAACCAUUGGAGCUUGCUCCUUUGGUUUAGCGGCG
Molecule: ribosomal RNA, 103 nt
Filed under: Streptococcus pneumoniae
Lineage: Bacteria; Bacillati; Bacillota; Bacilli; Lactobacillales; Streptococcaceae
Description: partial 16S ribosomal RNA
Rfam family: Bacterial small subunit ribosomal RNA
Source: RNAcentral